This 785-nucleotide long non-coding RNA is filed under the name Capra hircus (goat). RNAcentral describes it as "lncRNA (ENSCHIG00000003987.1)". The record is from RNAcentral. Lineage: Eukaryota; Metazoa; Chordata; Mammalia; Artiodactyla; Bovidae.
AUGGAAUUCUACAGGCAAGAAUACUGGAGUGGGUUGCGUUCCUUUCUCCAGGGGAUCUUCCUGACCCAGCGAUCGAGCUGCAACCGUCUGCAUUGCAGGCAGAUUCUUUACCAUCUGAGCCACCAGGGAGGCCUUCUCUUGCUAAGUUAUGACCAAUUCAGAAGCCUGAAGAUUGAUGUAUCAUGUAUGGCACCCUUUUAUCUAAUCAGAGAUGGCUGGCAAAAUGGAGAAAAUGACCCAGGGCAGGGGAUGAAAGACUGCAGGCUUUCCUCAGGGCUGGAGCAAAUCCAAAUUCCAGACUCAGGACCAUCCACUGGAGAGAUGGACUUGUACUCUCCAGGGUACUGAAGAAGUGCCUGUCCCAGCAUCACCCAAGGAGGAUGCCCCCUCUCUGGGCACAGAGUGAAGAUCAAAUCACAGCGGAGGAUGAGAUGAUCCUAACACUUCACAUAAGGAGUUUCCUACAAUUCCUUCAUUGGCAGUAUUGCCAAUACUCUAGAGGAGAGAGACUUAGAGGUUAAAAAAAAAAAAAUUAUAGGUGUCCUGCAAUUAUAGCUAUAAAGUAAUAGCAGGUUGUUUUAUAAAUAUUUAUGUUGCACAUUAAAAAGAUUCCAUAGUGUGGCAGAGGCCACUCAAGUUCCACAGUAUCAACUCCCUUUCCUUCUCAAGCAAUAAAAAUCCUUGAGUUUUGUCUGGGCACUAAGCCAUGCUGAAAAAUGAGUUUAUUCUUGAGAUAUAAUUCUGAAUAAUAGGAUUGCACAGAAAUGAUGUGUGAAAUCUCCAGG